GGGGAUGAACGGCUUCGACGGGGCAGGACGUUCUUUGACUGCGGGCCGUAGAGCGUCGACUACGUUAAAAAGGCGCAACACCUAUAAAUGCCAACACAGGCAAACUCUUCAACUUCGGUUUCGCGAACGCCGCUCCGGCAGCAGUCGCCGCCUAAGUGAAGGACUAGACUCUUCGGAGUCUCGGCCCGUUCCGAUGGAGCACCCAGGUCGGACGGAUGCCGUCAUAUACUGGCGGGCUGCGGUGAUAGGACGCCGAUAGCGUCACCUAAGUAGAAUCGGCUAGCUGGGCAUGUGAAUCCCGUCGCACGGAGUCCGCCCAGCGAAACCCAAAUGUGCGACUAUGCCUGUAGACGUUACUGGACAAAUGUUUCGGACGCGGGUUCGAUUCCCGCCAUCUCCACAA
Molecule: transfer-messenger RNA, 403 nt
Filed under: Caldilineaceae
Lineage: Bacteria; Bacillati; Chloroflexota; Caldilineae; Caldilineales
Also listed under: 1 other name
Description: JAAUPU01 sp012032975 Standard tmRNA
Rfam family: transfer-messenger RNA
About the family: Bacterial tmRNA, also known as 10Sa RNA or SsrA, is named for its dual tRNA and mRNA-like properties.
Source: RNAcentral